RNAcentral lists this ribosomal RNA (508 nucleotides) under uncultured bacterium. RNAcentral describes it as "bacterial SSU rRNA". It matches the Rfam family "Bacterial small subunit ribosomal RNA", at positions 18 to 518 of the family's 1533-position model. The record is from RNAcentral.
UCUGGCUCAGGAUGAACGCUAGCUACAGGCUUAACACAUGCAAGUCGAGGGGCAGCAUUGGAGUAGCAAUACUCAGAUGGCGACCGGCGCACGGGUGAGUAACACGUAUCCAACCUGCCGCUUACUCGGGGAUAGCCUUUCGAAAGAAAGAUUAAUACCCGAUGGUAUAAAGAGUUCGCAUGUUCUCUUUAUUAAAGAAUUUCGGUAAGCGAUGGGGAUGCGUUCCAUUAGAUAGUUGGCGGGGUAACGGCCCACCAAGUCUACGAUGGAUAGGGGUUCUGAGAGGAAGGUCCCCCACAUUGGAACUGAGACACGGUCCAAACUCCUACGGGAGGCAGCAGUGAGGAAUAUUGGUCAAUGGACGAGAGUCUGAACCAGCCAAAGUAGCGUGAAGGAUGACUGCCCUAUGGGUUGUAAACUUCUUUUAUAAGGGAAUAAAGUGAGGGACGUGUCCCUUUUUGUAUGUACCUUAUGAAUAAGGAUCGGCUAACUCCGUGCCAGCCGCCGC